AAAAUCUUUAUUUUUCUUUAUGCACUCCAAUAUUUUUUAUAGCGAAACCACAAAUGUUGCUCUUUUCUGCCGUCUUUUUUUUUGCGGUUCUAAAACUUUUUUUUGCGAGUUGAAAUGUUUUGCUUGCGAGUUAAGCUGUCUCUCAGUGGGCAGUCUCUACCCACCAGGAUGAAAGGCCUUUUCCUAUUGGUCACUCUCGAUUGAAGUCACAGGUUGACCACGCCCACUCAGUUUCCCCGGAAUCCGCUGCACUGCCGCCGCAGUCUGACAGAAGAGCGAGCGAGGGUGCAUCAUGACGAGCAACAGGUCGUGUACUGGGAAGAUUUGGUGUUGAUGGAGGGGGCAACAUCUUCAAGGCAAAACCUUAGACCUGAUGCAACAUCAUCCAGUGUCAAAAUCACCCUUUAGGAGGCACUUGAAGACCAGUGCCCAAUAUGCACAGGAACAUUUCCAGUGUCAGAAGUAGACCUGCCAUGCCAGCUUUUGUGGAGACAGGUAAUGGUAAUAGGGACUCACAUUGAGAAAAAUCCUCCAGAUCCUUCACUUUCUCAGGUUUUCCAGCAUCUUUUGCAUAUUUGAACCCUUUCCAGCAAUGAAUGUAU
Cyprinus carpio (common carp) is the source of this 602-nucleotide long non-coding RNA. RefSeq lists it as uncharacterized. The record is from RefSeq and is a predicted model, not a curated record. NCBI's taxonomy places the organism in Eukaryota, Metazoa, Chordata, Actinopteri, Cypriniformes, Cyprinidae.